Molecule: ribosomal RNA, 506 nt
Filed under: uncultured bacterium
Lineage: Bacteria
Description: partial 16S ribosomal RNA
Source: RNAcentral
GGAGUUAGCCGGUGCUUCUUCUGUGAGUGAUGUCCUUCCUGCCGGCUAUUAACCCGCAGGCCUUCUUCCUCACUGAAAGUGCUUUACAACCCGAAGGCCUUCUUCACACACGCGGCAUGGCUGGAUCAGGGUUGCCCCCAUUGUCCAAUAUUCCCCACUGCUGCCUCCCGUAGGAGUCUGGGCCGUGUCUCAGUCCCAGUGUGGCUGAUCAUCCUCUCAGACCAGCUACGGAUCGUCGCCUUGGUGAGCCGUUACCUCACCAACCAGCUAAUCCGACAUAGGCUCAUCCGAUAGCGCGAGGCCCGAAGGUCCCCCGNUUUCCCCCGUAGGGCGUAUGCGGUAUUAGCCUGGGUUUCCCCAGGUUAUCCCCCACUACCGGGCAGAUUCCUAUGCAUUACUCACCCGUCCGCCGCUCGCCACCAGGGAGCAAGCUCCCCGUGCUGCCGCUCGACUUGCAUGUGUAGCUCGCCGCCACGCGUCAUCUGAGCCAUAACUACAACUACUGA